Molecule: long non-coding RNA, 1043 nt
Filed under: Mytilus galloprovincialis (Mediterranean mussel)
Lineage: Eukaryota; Metazoa; Mollusca; Bivalvia; Mytilida; Mytilidae
Source: RNAcentral
UGUUUUUAUACGACUGCAAAAUUUGAAAAAUUUUUCGUCGUAUAUUGCUAUCACGUUGGCGUCGUCGUCUGCGUCGUCAUCGUCGUCGUCGUCGUCCGAAUACUUUUAGUUUUCGCACUCUAACUUUAGUAAAAGUGAAUGGAAAUCUAUGAAAUUUUAACACAAGGUUUAUGACCACAAAAGGAAGGUUGGUAUUGAUUUUGGGAGUUUUGGUCCCAACAUUUUAGGAAUUAGGGGCCAAAAAGGGCCCAAAUAAGCAUUUUCUUGGUUUUCGCACUAUAACUUUAGUUUAAGUUAAUAGAAAUCUAUGAAAUUUUGACACAAGGUUUAUGACCACAAAAGAACGGUUGGGAUUGAUUUUGGGAGUUUUGGUUUCAACAGUUUAGGAAUUAGGGGCCAAAAAAGGGCCCAAAUAAGCAUUAUUCUUGGUUUUCACACAAUAACUUUAGUUUAAGUAAAUAGAAAUCAAUGAAAUUUAAACACAAUGUUAAUGACUACAAAAGGAAGGUUGGUAUUGAUUUUGGGAGUUUAGGUCCCAACAGUUUAGGAAUUAGGGGCCAAAAAGGGACCCAAAUAAGCAUUUUUCUUGGUUUUCGCACCAUAACGUUUAGUAUAAGUAAAUAGAAAUCUAUGAAAUUUAAACACAAGGUUUAUGACCAUAAAAGGAAGGUUGGUUAUUUGAUUUUGGGAGUUUUGGUCCCAACAGAAUAAGGGCCCAAAGGGUCCAAAAUUAAACUUUGUUUGAUUUCAUCAAAAUUGAAUAAUUGGGGUUCUUUGAUAUGCCGAAUCUAACUGUCAUGACUGUGUAUGUAGAUUCUUAACUUUUGGUCCCGUUUUCAAAUUGGUCUACAUUAAGGUCCAAAGGGUCCAAAAUUAAACUUAGUUUGAUUUUGACAAAAAAUGAAUCAGUUAGGUUCUUUGAUAUGCUGAAUCUAAAAAUGUACUUAGAUUCUUGAUUAUUAUUGGCCCAGUUUUCAAGUUGGUCCAAAUCGGGGUCCAAAAUUAAACUUUGUUUGAUUUCAUCAAAAAUUGAAUAAAUGGGG